GCCGCCGCGGUAAUACGGGGGAUGCAAGCGUUAUCCGGAUUUAUUGGGUUUAAAGGGUGCGUAGGCGGUCGAUUAAGUCAGCGGUGAAAUUUAGGGGCUCAACCUCUACCGUGCCGUUGAUACUGGUCGGCUGGAAUGCGGAUGCCGUGGGAGGAAUGUGUGGUGUAGCGGUGAAAUGCAUAGAUAUCACACAGAACACCGAUUGCGAAGGCAUCUCACGAAUCCGCUAUUGACGCUGAGGCACGAAAGCGUGGGGAUCAAACAGGAUUAGAUACCCC
Molecule: ribosomal RNA, 278 nt
Filed under: uncultured Olsenella sp.
Lineage: Bacteria; Bacillati; Actinomycetota; Coriobacteriia; Coriobacteriales; Atopobiaceae
Description: partial 16S ribosomal RNA
Rfam family: Bacterial small subunit ribosomal RNA
Source: RNAcentral